This is a non-coding RNA of Mauremys reevesii (Reeves's turtle), 2321 nucleotides long. The record is from the annotation of a RefSeq genome assembly. NCBI's taxonomy places the organism in Eukaryota, Metazoa, Chordata, Testudines, Geoemydidae.
AUAGGCAGAAGCGGCCGCGCCUUGUGUUUGUGCAGUUAGGCGCUAAACCCUCCUUUUCUUUACAGUAAGAAAUUACCCUACAGCUCAGAGCAAUGCCAGUGUGGGUACAGUUUGUGCUCAUUUUAGCAGCUUGGAAAGGUGCCCAGUCCCAGAUGCAGCUGGUGGAGUCCGGGGGGGCUGUUAGAAAUGAAGGGGAGUCCAUCCGCCUCUCCUGUAAAGGCUCCGGCUUCCGCUUCAGCAGCUACAACAUGUUCUGGUACCGGCAGAGUCCCGGGAAGAGCCCGGAGUUUGUCUCACGUAUUUACGACGAUGGGUCUAGUCCGUAUUACGCGUCUUGGGUUCAAGGUCGAUUCACCAUCUCCAGAGACAACGCCAAGAGCGAGCUGUACCUGGGAAUGAGCCGCCUGAGACGGGAGGACACCGCCCGGUAUCACUGCGCUGCUACAGACGCACAACGCGGCGCAGCCUGUGGGAGCUGGAACAAAAACCUCCGGGUCCCAGUCUCAGAGGGGCUGCAGGGCCGCAGUAACUUUAACCCAGAUGAGUUCUGCCCAAGCAGAGCCAGACAGUUCCCUUAUCCUGGACUGUGUCAUCUCUGGGUAUAACAUCAAUGACCACCAUUUGAGCUGGAUCCGACAAGGCCCUGGGAAAGGUCCGGUCUGGCUAGCAGCCUUCAGAACAGGUUACACCACCUACAUCGCGAAUGAGUUCAAAGGACAGGUUACCCCAUCCACCAGUGGUGCCACUGACAAGCUAAAGAGAGACAGACUCUCCGCGGCAGACACAGCUACUUCGUACUCUGCCAGCCAUGCACAGUGGUCGCUGCCUGGCUUCCUCUCCUACAAUAUCCCUUGUGGAACUGGCCUCCUCUCACUCAACCCAUUUUUCUCUGUGCAUGAACUUCACCCCUGGUACAAGGCCAGUAGAGGGGCCAAGCAUCAUCGGACUCUCACACCAGCGCUCAGAGUAGGGGCUCCUUGGGGAACAGGCCUUGCUCUCCUGCCUCUCCAAAGGUAGAAUUUUACCCAGCGAUUUGUGGCUUUGGUCUCUGCAAUUUCAACGUGUGUCGUUCAAAUCAACUUGUGACCGGGAAGCAGCAUCGUUGCAGGUUAGGCCACCAAAGUGGGAAUCAAGAGAAUUUGUAGAUCAGUGUCACAGCCUAGAACAGAACCAAUGUGAAGUGACGCAAGUGACUCCCUUUGUCUGGCUUGUCUGUUUAGAGUGAAACCUCUUGGGUGCAAGGCCUGUCUCCUGUGGCGCGUAGGGGCAGCACCCAACACACUGAAAUCCUGAUCUUGGUUGGGACCCUUCAGGUGUUACUAAAAUGCCAAGAAUAAUGACCCGUGGAUUUGAAUGGCAGAAAGGACCCUUACAUAAGACCAUCCCACCCAGUGGGUUCUGCAUCCAGAAGAAAUGUUGAACUGGAGCACUCAUGUUUUAAGGAGCAUGGAGGACAGAGUCACAGAUUUCUGAAGUUGGAAAAAAAACAUUCUGAGAACAUUUUGUCUCUGUGCAUGACACACAUGCCAGGCAUUUUUGUAACAAACUUUUAUUUGAGCCAAAGCAUGUCUUUUGAGCUGCAGUAUAUGUAUCUGAUAUUGGUGACAAUACUGGACAGAGAGGGAGGUGAUCUUGACUCCAAUUCUAAUCUGCCACCAGUCUGCAAUGGUUGAUAGUGAACAUGAAUUCCUUGGUGCAGUAGUCUCCAGAGGGCAGCAGAACUUGAGGAAUGAGACAGAGAAGUCUAUUUAGUAGUGACCAUCCGGAAGUAGGAAAGGGUCAGGAAUUGAGAGCAUGCGGUGUCCUGUACAAUGACCAUGAGUUGUUAACACAGGUAGGGAAUGAGACAGUGUUCGCUAUACCCGCCAUUGAGGAAAUGAUAUAAUAAUAUCUCUGUUCUCUUUCUUUUACAAGCUGGGUGGCCGUGAUCACUUUAACCCAUUCAAGUUCUGCAGAGGCAGAGCCAGAGAACUCCAUUACGCUGGACUGCACUGUUUCUGGGUACAAUGUUAAUGACCGUCAUAUGCAAUGGUUGCGCCUUCCCCAAGGGGAAAAUAUGGUCCAGAUAGCAUCCUUCAGACCAAGUUACCCCAUCUACAUCUCGGAUGAAUUCAAAGGACAUGUCACCUCCUCCACUGGCGGCUCCACUGACAAGCUAACGAUAGACAGUCUCACAUCUGCAGACACCGCUACUUACCACUGUGCGACAAAUGCACAGUGAUCGCUGCCUGGCUUCCUCUCCUACAGCAUCUCCCCUGGAACGGGCCUCCUCUCACUUAGCCAAUCUCUCUCUCACAUGAACUUCACCCCUCAGCAUAUGG